UGGUCUCCACUUCUUAACGAGCACCCAAGCGAGAAACAAACAGCAAAAACAAUGGCAACCUCCAUUAGCACACCAAAGCUCUGCUUCUCUUGUCCAACCCUCCAAACCCUUUGCAGAAGAUUCCCCGUAAUCUCUCCUCUCUUCAUCUCUUCUCAACAUCCAUCUCUCACUCUCUUCAAAGCCCAACCCCGUUUCUCUCACUUCCGUUCCUCUUUACCUUCCUGUCGCCGCUUCUCCGUCAGAGCAGAGUCCGACAAUGGUGCCGAGCCUGCCCACUACGAUUUCGACCUCUUCACUAUAGGCGCCGGCAGCGGCGGCGUCAGGGCUUCGCGCUUCGCAGCUAGUUUUGGAGCUUCCGUUGCCGUGUGUGAGCUUCCUUUUGCCACAAUUUCUUCGGAGACUGCUGGAGGGGUCGGUGGAACGUGCGUGCUUCGUGGAUGUGUACCGAAAAAACUGCUUGUAUACUCAUCCAAAUAUUCCCAUGAAUUUGAAGAAAGUUGUGGUUUUGGAUGGAAAUAUGACACUGAUCCUCAGCAUGAUUGGAGUAUUUUGAUGGCUAACAAGAAUGCUGAGUUACAGCGUCUUACCGGCAUCUACAAAAAUAUAUUGAAAAAUGCGGGCGUCACAUUGAUUGAAGGUCGUGGAAAGAUUGUGGGUCCACACACUGUUGAUGUAGACGGGAAGCUCUACUCUGCAAGGCACAUACUGAUUUCAGUUGGUGGGCGCCCUUUCAUCCCUGAUAUCCCUGGGAGUGAAUUUGCCAUAGAUUCAGAUGUUGCCCUUGAUUUGCCUUCUAGACCAAAGAAAAUUGCAAUUGUUGGAGGUGGCUACAUAGCUUUGGAAUUUGCUGGCAUCUUCAAUGGUUUUAAAAGUGAGGUUCAUGUAUUCAUACGGCAGAAAAAGGUUUUAAGAGGCUUUGAUGAAGAGAUGAGAGAUUUCAUUGCUGAACAGAUGUCUCUCAGAGGAAUCGAGUUCCACACACAGGAGUUACCUCAGGCUAUUCUAAAAUCAACAGAUGGUUCACUAUCCUUGAAGACUAACAGAGGAACUGUGGAAGGUUUCUCACAUAUCAUGUUUGCGACAGGACGCAGACCUAACACAAAGAACUUGGGACUUGAGCCUGUUGGGGUGAGAAUGUCGGAGAAUGGAGCAAUAGAGGUUGAUGAAUACUCUCGUACAUCAGUUCCAUCCAUUUGGGCUGUUGGAGAUGUUACUGAUAGGAUAAAUCUUACUCCAGUUGCAUUAAUGGAGGGAGCUGCACUGGCCAAAACACUGUUUGGGGAUGAACCUACAGUACCAGAUUACCGAGCUGUACCAUCUGCUGUGUUUUCCCAGCCACCCAUCGGACAAGUUGGUCUUACCGAAGAGCAGGCAAUCCUAGAACAUGGUGAUGUUGAUGUCUUCACUGCAAACUUCAGACCCUUGAAGGCCACUCUCUCUGGGCUUCCUGAUCGUAUCUUCAUGAAACUCAUAGUUUGUGCAAAGACAAAUAAGGUUUUGGGGUUGCACAUGUGUGGCGAAGAUUCACCUGAAAUUGUGCAGGGAUUUGCAGUGGCUGUGAAAGCCGGAUUGACCAAGGCAGACUUUGAUGCCACUGUGGGUAUUCAUCCAACAGCGGCUGAGGAGCUUGUCACGAUGAGGAGUCCAACUCGGAAGAUUCGAAACAAUCCUACUUCUGAGGGCAAGGCAGAUCCUGAGUUUAAAGCUGCAGCAGGGGUUUAGCAUGUCUAGAAUCUCAAAACAAUCUGCUACUGGAUACAGUUUCUUCUAGGAGCCAGACUGUUUUCAUUUUGGUACUCACAAUUUUUUUACUGCGAAUGAUUCCAAAUGGCAGUGAAGGUAGCGUUACAGGAAAUUGAGGUUGAGAUCCUGACAAUGGAACAGUCGUUGGUAAGGCUUUCUGAAGGGGAGACUGAAGAAUGCAGGUUCCCUGCUGGGGAGCGACUAAAGAGAACUUGAGAAGUAAAAGGUCUUGAGAAAUCAUCUGUAGUUGUGUAUUUAUAUGUAGUUAUUUACUUGCUGCACAAGGUGAGUGCCGUUGCAUUUUGAGAGCCAUAUUAUGGGUUUUCCAUAUCUAUAUAAUUUUGAAGCGUCAAUGGAUCAAUAUUGUAUAUUAGCUUCAUAACAGUGCAUAGAUUAGCCGAGGUGUGAAUAAUAAAUCAACAACGUAAUGAUUUGAUCCCAAA
Malania oleifera is the source of this 2186-nucleotide RNA transcript. It is a transcript of the gene named glutathione reductase, chloroplastic, with no coding region annotated. NCBI's taxonomy places the organism in Eukaryota, Viridiplantae, Streptophyta, Magnoliopsida, Santalales, Ximeniaceae. The record is from RefSeq and is a predicted model, not a curated record. The transcript is spliced from 12 exons.